This 253-nucleotide ribosomal RNA is filed under the name uncultured bacterium. RNAcentral describes it as "partial 16S ribosomal RNA". It matches the Rfam family "Bacterial small subunit ribosomal RNA", at positions 524 to 776 of the family's 1533-position model. The record is from RNAcentral.
UACGGAGGGUGCAAGCGUUGCUCGGAAUUACUGGGCGUAAAGGGUGAGUAGGCGGUCUUGUUUGUCUAAGGUGAAAGCCCGGGGCUUAACCUCGGAAGUGCCUUGGAAACGGCAAGACUAGAGUUCUAGAGAGGGUCGCAGAAUUCCCGGUGUAGCGGUGAAAUGCGUAGAGAUCGGGAGGAAUACCUGAGGCGAAGGCGGCGACCUGGAUAGAUACUGACGCUAAAUCACGAAAGCGUGGGGAGCAAACAGG